UGAAUCAACUUUAGGAGACGGUCCUGGCGCUUGCUGGAAUUUGGGAGCCCUGAAGCCUUCAUUCACAACAAUUGAACCGCUCUCCUUGAAGCUCUUGAUGAUCCGAUAAAUGGUUGAUUUAGGUAACCAUGGUUGACAGAGGAAGAACAAUGAUUCCAAACAGAACCCUCCUUUUGAAGCUUCCAGUCUGUUAUUUGAGCUCAAUCAGCAUGACAGAGUGAUCUACAGCCUUAUCCUCAUCAACACUCGCACCUGUGUUAAGGAGAGAAUCACUGACAUGAUGUCAGCUGGUCCUUUUGCGGCAGGGCUGAAAUGCAGUGGAAAUGUUUUUUGGGGAUUCAGCUCAUUUGCAAAGAGGGGCUUUGAAAAUCAUCUGAUCACUCUUCAUAACAUUCUGGAGUAUAUGCAAAUUGCCAACAUACAAACAGAGGCAGCAGACUAUGUGAAAAUUAAUAUUCAUUCUCAAAACUUUUGGCCAUGACUGUACAUCAUUCAUUUAAAAGGCCAAAAAUGGAUUUACCAAUUGCAGACUGUAGCUUUAAAAGAAACAUCAGGACUUCAGAAGUUCCACUCUACAGUUGUUAAAAUGAAGUAGAUGAGGUGAUCUGUCUCCCUGUUUUGUUCAGUGUCCAGAAGCCCAGAGCAGAGUCACCUACAACCAGCCUGCUAUCAAUGAAGAGUGAUCAGCCACCUGCUUUCAGCCAGGAACCAUUACCAGAUGACAAUAAGGAAGUGGAGAGUUUGGACAGUGAGGAUGUAUUAAAGAUCACACACAACCUUCUGGACAGAAGAAGUCAAACUCUGCUGACAGUCCAACAAGACAUCAAGGCUAAACUGAAACACAAGUAUCAACACAUAUCUGAAGGAAUUGGACACCAUGGAAACCAAAGUCUGUUCAAAGACAUCUACACAGAGCUCUACAUCACAGAGGGUGGAAGUGGAGGGCUCAAUAAUGAACAUGAGGUUAGACAGAUAGAGAUGGCAUCCAAGAAACGACACCACACAAGAGACAC
Long non-coding RNA from Oncorhynchus masou masou (cherry salmon), 1013 nucleotides. RefSeq lists it as uncharacterized. Lineage: Eukaryota; Metazoa; Chordata; Actinopteri; Salmoniformes; Salmonidae. The transcript has 3 exons. The record is from RefSeq and is a predicted model, not a curated record.